Molecule: long non-coding RNA, 239 nt
Filed under: Carica papaya (papaya)
Lineage: Eukaryota; Viridiplantae; Streptophyta; Magnoliopsida; Brassicales; Caricaceae
Description: long non-coding RNA (CPAP_LNC002336)
Source: RNAcentral
UCAUUUUCUUCCGUUAUUCAAGAAUUCAUAUAUAACCUAACUUUUUGUUCUCUUUCGAAUUUUGCUUUUACCAUUUUUCUCAUAAUCUUGAAAUAUUUUUCAUCCUCUUAAAAUGUCGUUUUUGCUUUGAGAAAUGUCUCUAGACCGAGAAAUCUCUUAACCUAAAUUUACUAUUUCCUUCCCAUUUGUCAUUAAACGGAGUUUUUAUCUUUACUACAUCUUCUUAGAUACAUAUAAAU